This 126-nucleotide ribosomal RNA is filed under the name Polymyxa graminis f. sp. tepida. RNAcentral's name for it is "partial 5.8S ribosomal RNA". It matches the Rfam family "5.8S ribosomal RNA", at positions 1 to 125 of the family's 154-position model. From Rfam's summary of the family: 5.8S ribosomal RNA (5.8S rRNA) is a component of the large subunit of the eukaryotic ribosome. It is transcribed by RNA polymerase I as part of the 45S precursor that also contains 18S and 28S rRNA. The record is from RNAcentral. Lineage: Eukaryota; Endomyxa; Phytomyxea; Plasmodiophorida; Plasmodiophoridae.
CAACUCUUAGCAAUGGAUAUCUUGGUUCCCACAACGAUGAAGAACGCAGCGAAAUGCGAUACGUAAUGCGAAUUGCAGAAUUCAGUGAAUCAUCGAAUCUUUGAACGCAAGUUGCGCUUUCGAGAG